Long non-coding RNA from Eptesicus fuscus (big brown bat), 496 nucleotides. RefSeq lists it as uncharacterized. The record is from RefSeq and is a predicted model, not a curated record. NCBI's taxonomy places the organism in Eukaryota, Metazoa, Chordata, Mammalia, Chiroptera, Vespertilionidae. The transcript has 4 exons.
GUCACUAUAGGACUAAGAAGAUACCUUGGAUCUGAAUUGUGAAGGAGGUAUCUGGACCUGAGCUUUUCUCUUCUGCUGGCUGGUCUCUCAGAGCAAGUUUUCAGCUGAUACUUCUGGUAGGAAAUGCUUGCUCCAGUCUAGACCUAACAAAAGAAGAACCCAAUUCUCAUCAUAUUCGCUUGGUUGGUACUUGGUGAAGUUGCUGCUGUGUCACAAAUAAGAACAUAACUUGGAAAAAGAGAAGCCCUAGGGUAACAGCAACUUGGAUAGAAUAUUCCACAUGAACCACCUGGAACAUGGUGGGACCACAUCACAGUGAAUGAUGCAAAUGAUCGAUGAAAAGAGCUGAGCAGUAACAUAGGAGGAGCCAUUUACAUCAGAGUGAACCCCAUCUAUCCCAUCCAUCCAGAGUACUCACAUACAUGAGAGGAGACCAGGAAUACCGAAAUGGGGAGCCAAUGAUUGGAACCUCCCCAAUCUUAUUCUUCUGGCACAU